Molecule: ribosomal RNA, 1428 nt
Filed under: Klebsiella sp. ZS1.3
Lineage: Bacteria; Pseudomonadati; Pseudomonadota; Gammaproteobacteria; Enterobacterales; Enterobacteriaceae
Description: bacterial SSU rRNA
Rfam family: Bacterial small subunit ribosomal RNA
Source: RNAcentral
CGGCAGGCCUAACACAUGCAGUCGAGCGGUAGCACAGAGAGCUUGCUCUCGGGUGACGAGCGGCGGACGGGUGAGUAAUGUCUGGGAAACUGCCUGAUGGAGGGGGAUAACUACUGGAAACGGUAGCUAAUACCGCAUAACGUCGCAAGACCAAAGUGGGGGACCUUCGGGCCUCAUGCCAUCAGAUGUGCCCAGAUGGGAUUAGCUAGUAGGUGGGGUAACGGCUCACCUAGGCGACGAUCCCUAGCUGGUCUGAGAGGAUGACCAGCCACACUGGAACUGAGACACGGUCCAGACUCCUACGGGAGGCAGCAGUGGGGAAUAUUGCACAAUGGGCGCAAGCCUGAUGCAGCCAUGCCGCGUGUAUGAAGAAGGCCUUCGGGUUGUAAAGUACUUUCAGCGGGGAGGAAGGCGAUAAGGUUAAUAACCUUGUCGAUUGACGUUACCCGCAGAAGAAGCACCGGCUAACUCCGUGCCAGCAGCCGCGGUAAUACGGAGGGUGCAAGCGUUAAUCGGAAUUACUGGGCGUAAAGCGCACGCAGGCGGUCUGUCAAGUCGGAUGUGAAAUCCCCGGGCUCAACCUGGGAACUGCAUUCGAAACUGGCAGGCUAGAGUCUUGUAGAGGGGGGUAGAAUUCCAGGUGUAGCGGUGAAAUGCGUAGAGAUCUGGAGGAAUACCGGUGGCGAAGGCGGCCCCCUGGACAAAGACUGACGCUCAGGUGCGAAAGCGUGGGGAGCAAACAGGAUUAGAUACCUGGUAGUCCACGCCGUAAACGAUGUCGAUUUGGAGGUUGUGCCCUUGAGGCGUGGCUUCCGGAGCUAACGCGUUAAAUCGACCGCCUGGGGAGUACGGCCGCAAGGUUAAAACUCAAAUGAAUUGACGGGGGCCCGCACAAGCGGUGGAGCAUGUGGUUUAAUUCGAUGCAACGCGAAGAACCUUACCUGGUCUUGACAUCCACAGAACUUAGCAGAGAUGCUUUGGUGCCUUCGGGAACUGUGAGACAGGUGCUGCAUGGCUGUCGUCAGCUCGUGUUGUGAAAUGUUGGGUUAAGUCCCGCAACGAGCGCAACCCUUAUCCUUUGUUGCCAGCGGUUCGGCCGGGAACUCAAAGGAGACUGCCAGUGAUAAACUGGAGGAAGGUGGGGAUGACGUCAAGUCAUCAUGGCCCUUACGACCAGGGCUACACACGUGCUACAAUGGCAUAUACAAAGAGAAGCGACCUCGCGAGAGCAAGCGGACCUCAUAAAGUAUGUCGUAGUCCGGAUUGGAGUCUGCAACUCGACUCCAUGAAGUCGGAAUCGCUAGUAAUCGUAGAUCAGAAUGCUACGGUGAAUACGUUCCCGGGCCUUGUACACACCGCCCGUCACACCAUGGGAGUGGGUUGCAAAAGAAGUAGGUAGCUUAACCUUCGGGAGGGCGCUUACCACUU